CUACAGACUGUCAACACACUCUCAACAGUUUUCUGGUCAUAUGUAAGUGUGAGCAGCUCUGUUAAGCUGAGGAUCCUUCUCCUCUUCUCCACUAAAUGCAUCACAUCCCACAACCUC
Long non-coding RNA from Sinocyclocheilus grahami, 117 nucleotides. RefSeq lists it as uncharacterized. Lineage: Eukaryota; Metazoa; Chordata; Actinopteri; Cypriniformes; Cyprinidae. The record is from RefSeq and is a predicted model, not a curated record. The transcript has 3 exons.